CAUGAUUUACUUUUUACGAAACAGAUUUCGAGAAUAUAAAUAAUCUAAAUCAUUCAACAAAUAAACGCGCACAUAAUCGAUUAUCAUUGCGCUGUGUUUACUCCAAGUGGACGCCCAGACGUCGCGAUGUUGCCAAAAUGAAAGCGCAGCACGCGGCUCUCGAUUUUUGUAGGGUUUGACAUCUUUAGGAAGUAAACUGUCAUCAAAGUUAAGAAAGCCCCCAACGAUUUCGUCGUCGACCAUAAGUGUCAGUUUAUCACGAUGCCAGAUCAUUGUAUAGUUGUGAAAUUCAUCACCAUAAUGCUGUUUACUCAAAUGAUUCGACAGGAAUUCAAGCGCAGUACCAUGCUGCCAAACAAUCAUACCGCCAUAUACACGAUUGCCCGAGAUAUCUUCCUGUUUAUUGCUGCGCAAGUUAGCAUUACCACGAGCCUGUGCAAUGCCUGAAAUAAUUAUAAAUGAAGCAAAUAUAUCUCAGCAGCGGUUAAUUAUCGAUUUGUGCUUAUGAUGAUACCAGGGAGGGAAAAGCACGAGUAGCUGUCGUUAAAUUUAAAUUUUCCGAUCCGUGUAUGUACGCAGAUAAGUUGAAGAAAUCAAAAAAAAAAACUUAAGAAAACUAAUCGAGUCUAUUAAAGCCAUCAUUAGAUUCGAAAGAUACAAAUUGAAAUAUGUUAAAAGGAAUAAAAAUAUCAAACAAA
Molecule: long non-coding RNA, 698 nt
Organism: Drosophila nasuta
Lineage: Eukaryota; Metazoa; Arthropoda; Insecta; Diptera; Drosophilidae
Exons: 4
Source: RefSeq, a predicted model, not a curated record